AUCUGCAAAUAGAUCUCUGGCUAUUUUGGAAGAGCCAAUACAUCCACUUUCAGAAGAGAAGGCUCCAGGGAAAUCCUUUCAGCAUGAUCCCAAAUGCAACUGUAUUUUCAGAUAUUUCCGUACUCUUUUUCAAGUCAUGAAACUAACAGCUCCAUGUGCAAUCGUAGCUUUGGUGUACAUUGAACGACUUCUAAC
Nomascus leucogenys (northern white-cheeked gibbon) is the source of this 195-nucleotide long non-coding RNA. RefSeq lists it as uncharacterized. The record is from RefSeq and is a predicted model, not a curated record. The transcript is spliced from 3 exons. Lineage: Eukaryota; Metazoa; Chordata; Mammalia; Primates; Hylobatidae.